UAAGGAAAACGAAAAAACUAAGUGAAGAGUCGGUUCGUUACAUUCAAAACAGCCCGCCCUCAAACGUUUUCUUCGAUUGUUAACUUUCUCUUUCUCUUAAGACUUCUUGCUCUGGUUCAACAAAUCAUCAUCUGGUUUGUGGUUUGGGAUGCUUUUUUGAUCGUCUCAGGCGUUGUUUGAAGAGAUGGUUCGUCACUCCCAUCUAGUUUUGGACGCUUUUUUAUCUUCUCAGGCGACGUUUGAAGGGCUCAGAUGCUGCGAGACGCGAUUGUAGAUAACUUUCUCUCUUGCUUGGCCAUCUCUGUGAGGCAACAAGCCUUAAGGGAUUAGAACUAAGAAGGGGUUCUGUCGAUCGGUCAUGGCGAUCCGGAAAAGCUUAUAAAAUUUCAAGCCAUUUCAUCGCCAAAACCAUUGUUUCACUUGUGUUCCUGUUCCCGGUCCUACGUGCGCCCAGAUUCGUAACUGUGAUCGUUUACUUUUGGCCUCUCUUCCUCUCUACAGCCAUGUUUCUCUCCGCCGAUGUCGUCUUUGGUUGGUUAUCUUCAAUGUAACCUGAAGAUUCCGGGGAGAAAAGCAGGAGAAGGGAUAUUAGAUUAUGUUGCCGGACAACCGGAACAGGUGGGGGAAUCGGAAGAGGAGUGUCAGAAGACCCCGAAAUCUGAGAAAUCUGAGAUGAUUCGUCACGAUGUUUGAAGUGCUCGUUGCUACACGGAUUUCUCAGCCAAAGAAAUAAUUUGGAUGUGAAACAGAAGUAUGGCCGUGAAGGCAAAAAUGUUAAAGCAAAAGUUAAAUUGGAUCCUUUCUUUCCAAAGAUUGGUCUAUUGAGCUCUAAUUCGCUGUAAGAGGGAAAAGCAUUCUAGGAAUAUAUGGUCUCAAGUCAGAUAUUCAUGAUGUUAAAGCAUGCAGAUGAGCUGUCACUGAAUGAGCUACUUGAUGGCAGUUAUGAAUGUUCUAAUAUAUGCCAAGACAUAUGGAACGGAAACCCGAUAUUUCUCAGCCAAAGAAAGAUCAACUCUAGAUCGGCUUAUGGAACAGUAACACUUAGCGUUUUUGCAAUCUCUUUUUCUUUGGACUUUACAUACUCGUAGUAAUUAAAACAGCCCUUUCUUGAUCAAACAUUUAGUCACCUUAAAAUGUAAAAAUACUCUAGAAUGUCGGUGGGUUUUGGACGUCAUGAAUUCAUGGCCCCAAAACGGAACAUAUUCUCAUGAAUAGGACUUGCAAACUUCCAAAGAUAUCUGGAAAUGACUAAAACCAUAUUAUACAGUUUAAUUUUAAUAUGUAUUAGGCACAUGCUCGGCCUUUUCUUUAUUUUCUAUGCAGUCCCUUCUUGUGUUUGGCUAGCUGGUGAUAAGAAGACAAUAUGAGAACUGAAAGAAGACAGGUCAUAAUAUGCAUAAGGGACUCAAUGUCUCUUUUAAAAAUUGGAUAAGAAUUGGCUGAAUCAGUUGUCGAUUUGGAAUCAAUUGAAACCAAUGAGUGCCAAAUUUUGUGUUGGGUGGUUGCUGAUGUUCUACCUGAUGUUUAGUUUUGUGCGUACAACUCAUUUUGAGGCACUAACAAAAUCUUUGGACUGAUGGUGUUUGACAUUUAUAGAAUUAUAGAUGGAGUAUCAUGGGAUUGGAGGAAUACUCAUUUCAAACAGGAUUCAAUGGUUCUGUAGGUUAGUGGGUUAAGAUAGGUUUCAGAACCUUGUCUACGGCGUCAAAAAAGUGGAAAUGAAUGCUUUUAGGUUUUAUCAUUUUGAUAGACUUUGUUGCUUAUUGAGAUUCUUUGAUAGAUGGCAUCAACUUUUAUCAGUGCUCCUCCACUAUCAUCAUAGUUUCAUUUUUUUUUAAUCUUUCAGAACACCUACUGUUUUCAAUAUGUAACCUUUUAGAUGCAGGAUAUGGAUCACUUUCAUUGAUAUUCAGCUUAGUGGGCACUUGAUUGCUGCAAGAGUUACUAGAUUUGGAGAGAGAGAGAGAGAUACUUUUGCUUGGAUACGGCUAUGGUUGUGGGGAAUCAACCCCUAUGAAAACAGUCUGAUUUUGAUUUUACUGUACAGGUCAUUAUUUGUUCUCUCAAUAUCUUGAUAUAGCUUAUGAGUGAAAUGAGGUAUUAUCAAGGUGAACAUGUGGUUGUAGGAGACACUUGCAUUAGUAGUUGUAAGACUAGAGGUGUUUGGAGACUUUCGUUUGUCUUGUGCUACACUUUUCAGUUGACAAUAAGGACCUAAAGAUUUCUUAGUAGGAAUUAAAUGCAGAUGUUGCCAACUCUAUACAUUGUUCCACACAUUAUGUAACAUUUUUCGAAAGGCACCCUGCUGAGAUAUAUAUCUGAUGUAACCAAUGGGUGAGAGACAGGGACAGAGUCCAAUGCUGGGAGCUGUUCGUCUGAAACUCUAAGAUAAGAAGAGCUUGUGCUGACUGAUUUGGAUGUAUCAGCAAGGGAACCAAGGCUGAAAGUUUCAUGAUGGCUAAAAUGACAUUUUCAUAGAUCAUGAACAACCUUUGUGCCCAGGAAUACAGGUCUGGAAGGGCGGGGAUUGAAUGCCAACAACAUUUUGAGACUGUGCCAUCACUUAUUGUGCCCGAAGUUCUUUCCAUCAGGUUGUGCAGCUGAAAUAUGGUCUGAGUUUAGGUGGUCGAUUUAAGUUGAGAUAUACAUAUUUGUUUCCUUAAAAGAAGAUCUCUCCCUCCUCCCUCCAAUUCGGCAGUUCCCGCCGCCAAAUCCUCCUACUGUCCCCCUCCCUCCUCUUGUUCUACGCCUCCUCUUUCCCCUUCCUCCUUCUUGGGUCCUCCUCUAUCCUCCCUUGCUUAUACCCCCCAGAAUUCUUGGAAAUCUGUGGCCACUCCUAGCACUCACCCUUCCUGUGUUGGCCUACCUUUGUCGUUCAUCAAACCCACCCUCCUCAAUGAUUCCCUUUUGGGCUACUGCCCUGAUGGAAUGCUUGAUUCUGAAAUUACAAAAUGGAGCAAAUGUCUCAUUGGGAAUUUCCUGGGCAGUGGACCCCCUUUCCCAAUUGUUAAGGCCUCUCUUCUCGGAAAUGGAGAACUUCUGGUAUGCUGCAAAUGGAAGCUAUGAUACCCUUUGAAUCAGUCCAACAUCCUCUUGACCCCCUCAGGGAAGAAAGCAGCGUCAGAAAGUUUUCUGGGACCUAUGACAUAUUAGAGGCGAGUGCCGUUUUGUCAUGGCCUAUGCUUGGUUCCUAGGUUGUCACCUUGGUCUUGUUCACUUUUUGUUCAAAACAUAGUGCCUUUUCUAACCGCAUCAUUUGUGUGUGCAGGUAGCAUACUUUAUGUGAGAUGCAUGUAAUCAUGUAGUAAAAAAAAAAAAAAAAAGAAUAGAGAAUUAAUUAUAACCCAAAAGUACCCAAUACAUUGUUUUGUUGUUCACUUGUUCGGUGUUCAUCCUUAAGAACAUGGUUCAACCCUAUCUCGAACCUCCCAUGGUGAUGGGCGGUGACAUUGCUGCAGGCUACCAUCCUCCUUGACAUGAUUAAUGAUUACUUGAUUUCUAUGGUUGAGAAUGACUGUAUUCCUAUCUAUGUAUUCUGGUUGGUGGUUGUCCCAUUUUUAUGAUUAAUGAUUACUUGAUUUCUAUGGUUGAGAAUGACUGUAUUCCUAUCUAUGUAUUCUGGUUGGUGGUUGUCCCAUUUUUAUGAUUAAUGAUUACUUGAUUUCUAUGGUUGAGAUAGAAUAUUGAUUGUUUGAGGAGUAAGUGGUGGCAGCCCCUUACAGGUGUUAUCUUUGUAAGAAUGAUGUGAAAUCUGUUAAUUAAAUAUUGUUAGCAUAAAUUUCUUUAUGGGAAUUACAAGGCAGAUGGAUGGAGUGAUUGGAAAAUUUGUGAGCGUGCCCCAGAAAACAUGCAUUCCCUUAUAAGUUGGAGACUUGAUUUCCUGCAGUUGCUUUUGUACAUUGAGAAAGCAGUCAUAGAGUUGAUCCUUAACACUGAAAUAGUGAAAGAAGUUAUAGCUUCCAAGACUCUUACUAGUGCAUUUGGAGCAACCUAUAAGUAUGACGUUUUGAUAAUUGCAAUUGGCUCUAUAGUCUUUAGGUUGUCUGACUUUAGUGUUUCACUUCGAUGUAAGAAAUUGAUGAUACUAACAAGCUUAUAGAAGCAAUUAAGGCAAAGAAGGAAGGAAAGAUUGAGCUUGUUGGAGGGGGAUACAUUGGUCUAGAGCUUAAUGCUGAAAUGAAGAUUAACAAUUUUGAUGUUACUAUGGUGUAUGCCUCGGCUCUUCACUACUGCUAUAACUGCUUUCUAUGAGGGUUAUUAUGCCAAGAAAGGUGUCAAAAUUAUUAAGGGAACAGUUGCAGUUGGGUUUUAUACUAAUGCAAAUGGGGAGGUGAAGGCUGUGAAAUUGAAGGAUGGGAGGGUACUAGAUGCUGACAUUGUUGUUGUUGGUGUUGGGGGAAGACCCCUUACCACAUUGUUCAAAGGACAGGUUGAGGAAGAGAAAGGUGGAAUUAUGAUUUGUGUUUCCCAUAUCCUUUUAAAUCUGAACUGCCUUCAGUUCUAAUUAUGUUGUGGAGAAUUUUUUCAGUGCCAUCCACUACCCUAUCUGAACCACCAUAACCAUAAUUAACAUGUUUAACCACCCAAUUUACAAGGAUUGCAGUUAGUGAAUGCCGUGAUGGAAUUCUUUUAUAUUCCUAUCAAUAGGUAUGUUAGAACUUCAUAAGUCUUUAAAUAAAGGCACUGUCUAAAUGACAUCUCUAUAGGUGUAUUCAGAAGUUGACACCUUCUUUUAAUUUCCAAAAUCACUAUCUAAAUGACAUCUCUAAUGUUCAGUAAGACCUCUCUUCUUGUUAGCAUAAGAUUUUGUAGAGCAUGUACUUGGAGAUAUGCAGUGUUUCUUAUUUGCCAGGUUAAUAUCUGAAAUAGAGGUUGUUUUUAGGUUGUGGUUGGCUGAUGCUCCAAAGAAUUUGUUGUUUAGUAUGCUUUUUAAUUUACUAUUUUUCCACAUAUGCAUUUUUAUAAUUUUCUUUAGCUUAGUUAUGCUACUAAUUUGAACUUGAUAAUCGUACUUAAAUUGAAGUGUCUUUUUGUUCAAUGCAGUCUUCGUAGGUUGCUUUAAUUUCUCUUAGCUUUGUUGUAGCCCUCUUUUGCUUGCAUGUUGUUUGAUUAACUGGUUUGUUGUGAGCCUUUCCACCCCUCCUUCCCCUUUUAUAUUCUUCCCUUUUGCGUAGUUGUAUUAUUUGUUCACCAAAAAAAAAAAAGUGUGUUUAAAGGAGUGUAAAUAUACUUAAAAAUUUUUCUCCAACCUUUUGUAAGUGUGUGUGUGUGUGUUCACUUAUUCAUUAGAUGAUUAACCAUCUUUAUGCUCAUCUUUUUUACUCAAUUAUUAGUUUGUAACAUCUCUCCUAAUUUCAUUGAAAGUGAUUCUAAGAUGCUUGUUCAACUUAUGCUCUCUCAUAUCAGCACUCCUUGGGCUAUAUCCUAGAUUAUCAAUCAAUGUCAGCUUCUUCUAUCUCCUGCCAUGAAGAUUCAGCAUGCCUACAGGGAGGGGAAUGCAGUUGCAAAUAGGCUUGCUUUUGAGGCUCACUCUCACACGGUAUAUUCUGAUUUUGCAAUGGAUUUGCAUCAGAAAGAACAACUUCAUGACAGUGCUAUGUCCAUGAUGCAGUCCCACACUACCCACUAGCUUUUGUUUCAGGGACAGGAAAGCUAUUUUCAUGUUGGAAGAUGAUCCAAUGGUUUGUUGCUUCUUGUGGCUAAAAUUCAGUGUCCAACAUGUGGAUUUAUCAAAUCCACUGUUUUUCAAUUGUGACUGAUAUUUGCGAUAAGACUGACAAAGAGCUAGAGCACAAGAAUAAAGCUGGAAAAUCCCAUCGCCUUCCUUUCAUUCCCAAAGAUGAGGAGCUAAGUGAUGAAGAUCUUACGGAACUGUUGGAAGAAUGUUACAGGCCUAGUUCACAGCAUGUUGUGUAUUUUGAAGACGAUUAUGAGGCUAAAAGUUCUCUUGUAGGAAAUGGGCCUAUGCCUUCCAAGUUCAAAUGAGGAUCCAACCAAUUGGAGAGUCAAGUGUGUGGGUAGACGUGAGUGGUAUUCAGUCUUCUGCCUCGUGCAAAAGUAUGUUGACUUGAAUCUCUCGGAACCAAUCUGCAAACUAUUUCCGAUUUUUAAUUUGAGGAUACAAAAAGUUAUAGUUGAAGCUUGUAGGGAAUUUGAUGUAAUUGAGGUAUCUUCCAUUGCCUAUUAGUCUGCUGCUAAAAAGUUUAUCGAUAUGCUAUAGUGUCUUUAUAAAUUCUAGCUAUUAUUGAGUUAAUUAGAAAGUUGUUUAUUACUGUUAUUAUUAUUAGCAGUGUUACCGUAUAGGAGACUAAUAUAGGAUUGACAAUAUUUACACUUCAGGCAUGUAAAGAUCUCAGUAUUAUUUAUUCUAGUAGAUUGUCAUGCAUUCCAAUA
Macadamia integrifolia is the source of this 6393-nucleotide RNA transcript. It is a transcript of the gene named probable WRKY transcription factor 57, with no coding region annotated. The record is from RefSeq and is a predicted model, not a curated record. Lineage: Eukaryota; Viridiplantae; Streptophyta; Magnoliopsida; Proteales; Proteaceae. The transcript has 13 exons.